GAUGAAGAACGCAGUGAAAUGCGAUAAGUAAUGUGAAUUGCAGAAUUCAGUGAAUCAUCGAAUCUUUGAACGCACAUUGCGCCCGGUAGUAUUCUGCCGGGCAUGCCUGUUCGAGCGUCAUUUCAACCAUCAAGCCCCAGCGCUUGUGUUGGGGGCCUGCGGCUGCCGCAGCCCCCCAAAAGCAGUGGCGGGCUCGCUAUCACACCGAGUGCAGUAGUUCAUCUUCUCUCCGGUCUUGUGAGGCGGGUUCCGGCCGUGAAACACCCCACUACAUUCAAGGUUGACCUCUGAUCAGGUAGGAAUACCCGCUGAACUUAAGCAUAUCAAUAAGCGGAGGA
RNAcentral lists this unclassified non-coding RNA (338 nucleotides) under soil metagenome. RNAcentral's name for it is "partial contains 5.8S ribosomal RNA, internal transcribed spacer 2, and large subunit ribosomal RNA". The stretch from base 1 to 120 matches the Rfam family "5.8S ribosomal RNA", at positions 35 to 154 of the family's 154-position model. The record is from RNAcentral.